RNAcentral lists this transfer-messenger RNA (422 nucleotides) under Anaerolineales bacterium. It matches the Rfam family "transfer-messenger RNA". From Rfam's summary of the family: Bacterial tmRNA, also known as 10Sa RNA or SsrA, is named for its dual tRNA and mRNA-like properties. Its role is to liberate the mRNA from a stalled ribosome. To accomplish this part of the tmRNA is used as a reading frame that ends in a translation stop signal. Lineage: Bacteria; Bacillati; Chloroflexota; Anaerolineae; Anaerolineales. The record is from RNAcentral.
GGGGAUGACAGGCUUCGACGGGGAAGGCUGGUCACGGACUGCAAGCCGGGGCGCUCUGACCUCGUGAACAACGGAGCACACUUUCCAAAGUGCCAACAACACUUGGAUCCCUGUCUCUCGGGCCCAGGUUGCCGCUGCUCCUUUGGCAGCGUAACCUAGUCUGAAGACAAUGAUCGCCUAGCGCGAUCACGUCCGCCCCGGUUUAUCGCCGGCGGGCCGGGGGUCGGACGUCAUACAGUCGGCGUGCGGCGUCCUGAUGUCGAUAGGGAUGCCAAAGAGGGGGUUUCGGCCCCCAUCGGCUGGUUCCGAGCGCAGCGCGGUCAGCGGCGACUCCUCGGACGAGAACGAAACGGCUGACUACGCUUGUAGACGUCUUUGGUCGAAUUCUUCGGACGCGGGUUCGAUUCCCGCCAUCUCCACCU